This 253-nucleotide ribosomal RNA is filed under the name uncultured bacterium. RNAcentral describes it as "partial 16S ribosomal RNA". It matches the Rfam family "Bacterial small subunit ribosomal RNA", at positions 524 to 776 of the family's 1533-position model. The record is from RNAcentral.
UACGGAGGGUGCAAACGUUGCUCGGACUCAUUGGGCGUAAAACGCACGUAGGCGGCCCGGUAAGUCGGAUGUGAAAGCCCUCGGCUCAACUGAGGAAGUGCAUUCGAAACUGCUGGACUUGAGUACGGGAGAGGGAUGCGGAAUUCCCGGUGUAGAAGUGAAAUUCGUAGAUAUCGGGAGGAACACCAGUGGCGAAGGCGGGAUCCUGGACCGAUACUGACGCUGAGGUGCGAAAGCGUGGGGAGCAAACAGG